This 665-nucleotide ribosomal RNA is filed under the name uncultured fungus. RNAcentral's name for it is "eukaryotic LSU rRNA". It matches the Rfam family "Eukaryotic large subunit ribosomal RNA", at positions 24 to 663 of the family's 3401-position model. Lineage: Eukaryota; Fungi. The record is from RNAcentral.
CCCGCUGAACUUAAGCAUAUCAAUAAGCGGAGGAAAAGAAACUAACAAGGAUUCCCCUAGUAACUGCGAGUGAAGCGGGAAAAGCUCAAAUUUAAAAUCUGGCGGUCCUUGUGCCUGUGCGAGGUGUUCUCUAGAGAAGUGCUAUGCGCUCUGGAGCGUGCACGAGUCUCCUGGAAUGGAGCGUCAUAGAGGGAGAGACUCCCGUCUGUGAUACGGCCUGCCAGGGCUUAUCUGAUACGCUCUCGAAGAGAGGAGUUGGUUGUGAAUGCAGCUCAUAAUGGGUGGAAUACUCCAUCUGAUGCUAAAUAUUGACGAGAGACAGAUAGAGAACAACUACCGGGAGGAAAAGAUGAAUAGAACUUUGGAAAGAGAGUGAGUCAGUCCGUGAUAUUGUUGAAAGGAAAACGCUCGAAGUCAGUCGCGUCGACCGGUGAUCCACCUUGCAUUUCUUUUCCUGGGCGUCCUUUCCGUUUGACGGGUCAGCAUCAAUUUUGACCGUUGGAUAAAGGCCUCGGGAAUGUGGCAUCCUCGGAUGUGUUAUAGCCCGUGGUCGCAUACAACGGUUGGGAUUGAGGAACUCAGCACGCCGCAAGGCCGGGUUUUUAACCCCCGUUCGUCCUUAGGAUCCGGCCAUAAUGCCUUUAAUCGCCCCUUCUGGAACCCCG